GUUGGGGGGCUAUUACACCAUCUAAUCUCUUCCCAGAUGAGGCACAGCCCUAUAUAUGUUGGUAUACUUCAUCCACGCAAUAAAAUUACACAAUCUAUUAUCUGCAAUGCAAGAGUUUUAUUUAGUAGUCUACAUUGUACACACUACACACAUGAAACAUUUUGUCCAAAUUUCUCUGAUGUGUUGACAAACAUUUUCGUGGUCCUUCAGGUGAUGAUAAUUCUAAAAAAAAU
This is a non-coding RNA of Paramuricea clavata, 233 nucleotides long. The record is from the annotation of a GenBank genome assembly. NCBI's taxonomy places the organism in Eukaryota, Metazoa, Cnidaria, Anthozoa, Malacalcyonacea, Plexauridae.